CCUACGGGCGGCAGCAGUGGGGAAUAUUGCACAAUGGGGGGAACCCUGAUGCAGCAACGCCGCGUGGGUGAAGAAGUACUCCGGUAUGUAAAGCCCUGUCAGCAGGGAAGAAAAUGACGGUACCUGACCAAGAAGCCCCGGCUAACUACGUGCCAGUAGCCGCGGUAAUACGUAGGGGGCAAGCGUUAUCCGGAUUUACUGGGUGUAAAGGGAGCGUAGACGGCAAGGCAAGUCUGGAGUGUAAGCCCGUGGCUCAACCGCGGGACUGCUUUGGAAACUGUGUUGCUGGAGUGCAGGAGGGGUAAGCGGAAUUCCUAGUGUAGCGGUGAAAUGCGUAGAUAUUAGGAGGAACACCGGUGGCGAAGGCGGCUUACUGGACUGUAACUGACGUUGAGGCUCGAAGGCGUGGGGAGCAAACAGGAUUAGAUACCCGGGUAGUC
RNAcentral lists this ribosomal RNA (440 nucleotides) under uncultured bacterium. RNAcentral's name for it is "partial 16S ribosomal RNA". It matches the Rfam family "Bacterial small subunit ribosomal RNA", at positions 338 to 795 of the family's 1533-position model. The record is from RNAcentral.